Long non-coding RNA from Phacochoerus africanus (Common warthog), 1533 nucleotides. RefSeq lists it as uncharacterized. The record is from RefSeq and is a predicted model, not a curated record. The transcript has 3 exons. NCBI's taxonomy places the organism in Eukaryota, Metazoa, Chordata, Mammalia, Artiodactyla, Suidae.
CAUGUUCAUAUAAAUUAUAAGGUAGUAUGACCUGAGAACUUCUUUAAUGACUACAGUUCCUUUGAUCCAUAAUAAGAAAUUCCAAUUCACUGGCAAGCCCUCCUUUCUUAUUAGUGAGCUGAAUAGAUGGGCAAAAGAUGAGUGCACACAUUAGAGGCAGAAAAAAAGGAUCUGAUUUUCAGAAAAUAGGGCAUCUCUUGCAAAUCGCUUAAUCACGCCUAUGAGGAAAUAUGGAGGAUCAGAAGUUCCAUUAACCUUAGCACCAUGGGAGGAAUAAAACAUGGCUAAAGUGUUCCACUAGGUAGCAAACAGAAGAGAAGCAAAUCGGGAGGGAGGUGAGCCCAAUAGGGGAAGAAAAAGCAUCAGGAUAGGGGGCCAGCAAAGAACAGCACAGAAACGCAGAACCUGGAGGGACACGGAGCAGCAGCUCCUACCAGCUGCCUGAGGUUCUGCUCAGAGAUCAUAACCUGGUACAUAUUGUGACCCAACCAGGUUUGUUUUGCCCAGUGCAGAGCAAGGAAAAUACUGAGAUGCCAACGUUUCCAGCACGGCGCACAGACUACAGUGAUAAAUCUCAAACCCACCUCCCUACCCAAGCUCUGACGGAGCUCCUUGCUGUCACCCUCCAGGCAGAGGGAAGAAUAGGCUGCUGGCGCCUCCACCGCACAUACUUAGGCAAUUGAUGCUCUGCUGGAGUAGAAGUCGGGGACUGGGAGCCCGGUGUGAAGCGUGACCUGGGGGAAGAGACUGUGAGUCCUGGAAGCACUGCAGGAUUUCCCCUGCCCCCCUUCCCAGGGCACAGUGGAGACCCCAAUGAAAAUGCAUCCUGGGGAAAUCUUUGAAAAUAAAGUGUAUCCACAAAAGACACUUCUCUACCUAGGAAACUGGUGAAAAAUACAUCUGAGGAAGAAGACACAAGCCAAAUGGAAAAAUGAGGUCUAGAGAAAAUAUCACAGAAUGUGUUAAAUUACAAUGCUUAUAUUUUAGCAGUAACGAAAACCUCUGGAGGUUCCUCUGUUCUUUUUCCCCAGAAAAUUGGGUGCUGAAUUCAUACACUAACAGGAGAGUUCUUCAAGUGUAAAACUAUCCGAAUUGGUAUCCAUAAGAUUUGGCUCAAUGAAUGACUACUAUUCUGAGCUGUGGUAUUAAUAAUUAUAUUAAGAAGAACAAUGGCUUCUAUUUUCCGGUGCCUCUGAUGGGAGGCAUUUUUGCAUGUCUCCAUUGUGGGAACAUUUCUGCAAGGAAAAAUAUGAUUCUCCUAAUUUAGUGGAUUUGGAAAGUGAGGGUCAGAAAAACUAAGUAUCUUUAUCCCAAAAUGCUUUUCUGGUAAGUUGCAAGUCUAUGUUUUAGAAUCCUGGAAUGUUUUUCUAUAACAGAGAUUCACAGGGAUUCUUAGUUUCCAGCCCCGGGUAGAAUAUAGCCAUGAGGGGCCUAGGAAAGUACUCAUGUCUCUGUUAUUACGCAAAAAAUAUAAAACACCAGGUUGGACUCAGCUGAGUAGUUGAACUUAAUAAAGUCGCCUGCCCGACUUCC